UGAUCAAAUAAGUAUAUGCUUAGGGAGGAGCUUGCGUCACAUUAGUUAGUUGGCAGGGUAAAGGCCUACCAAGACUAUGAUGUGUAGCUGGACUGAGAGGUUGAACAGCCACAUUGGGACUGAGACACGGCCCAAACUCCUACGGGAGGCAGCAGUAGGGAAUUUUCGGCAAUGGAGGAAACUCUGACCGAGCAACGCCGCGUGAACGAUGAAGUAUUUCGGUAUGUAAAGUUCUUUUAUUGAAGAAGAAAAAAUAGUGGAAAAACUAUCUUGACGAUAUUCAAUGAAUAAGCCCCGGCAAACUAUGUGCCAGCAGCCGCGGUAAUACAUAGGGGGCGAGCGUUAUCCGGAAUUAUUGGGCGUAAAGGGUGCGUAGGCGGUUUAAUAAGUCUAUAGUUUAAUUUCAGUGCUUAACACUGUCCUGCUAUAGAAACUAUUAGACUAGAGUGAGAUAGAGGCAAGUGGAAUUCCAUGUGUAGCGGUAAAAUGCGUAAAUAUAUGGAGGAACACCAGAGGCGUAGGCGGCUUGCUGGGUCUUUACUGACGCUGAGGCACGAAAGCGUGGGGAGCAAACAGGAUUAGAUACCCUGGUAGUCCACGCCGUAAACGAUGAGUACUAAGUGUCGGGAUUACUCGGUACUGAAGUUAACACAUUAAGUACUCCGCCUGAGUAGUACGUACGCAAGUAUGAAACUUAAAGGAAUUGACGGGACUCCGCACAAGCCGGUGGAUCAUGUUGUUUAAUUCGAAGAUACACGAAAACAUUAACCAGGUUUCCACAUACUCUGCAAAGCUGUAGAAACACAGUGGAAGGGUUGUGAUAUAACGGGAG
Molecule: ribosomal RNA, 832 nt
Filed under: Candidatus Phytoplasma sacchari
Lineage: Bacteria; Bacillati; Mycoplasmatota; Mollicutes; Acholeplasmatales; Acholeplasmataceae
Description: bacterial SSU rRNA
Rfam family: Bacterial small subunit ribosomal RNA
Source: RNAcentral